UAAGAGAGUGCCCGCAAGGGAGCCCGAAGACAGGUGCUGCAUGGCUGUCGUCAGCUCGUGUCGUGAGAUGUUGGGUUAAGUCCCGCAACGAGCGCAACCCUUAUCUUCAGUUACCAUCAUUUAGUUGGGGACUCUGGAGAUACUGCCCCGGUUAACGGGGAGGAAGGUGGGGAUGACGUCAAGUCCUCAUGGCCUUUAUAUCCAGGGCUACACACGUGCUACAAUGGUCCGUACAAAGGGUUGCAAGCCUGCGAGGGUGAGCUAAUCCCGAAAAGCGGAUCUCAGUUCGGAUUGGAGUCCGCAACUCGACUCCAUGAAGUUGGAAUCGCUAGUAAUCGUGGAUCAGCAUGCCACGGUGAAUACGUUCCCGGGCCUU
This 376-nucleotide ribosomal RNA is filed under the name uncultured Desulfobacterium sp. RNAcentral describes it as "bacterial SSU rRNA". It matches the Rfam family "Bacterial small subunit ribosomal RNA", at positions 1005 to 1382 of the family's 1533-position model. The record is from RNAcentral. Lineage: Bacteria; Pseudomonadati; Thermodesulfobacteriota; Desulfobacteria; Desulfobacterales; Desulfobacteriaceae.